UUGACAGUAGCAAACAAAUGUUGAGCACCAAAGGGAGACUUUAACAAAUACAUGAUAUGCCAAUGGUUAAAUGAAUGAUUUUUGUUUUCUUUCUUUUUUUAAUUUUUUUGCAUGUGGUUACAAUCAAGAUUUUUAAAUUCCGUGGGAUGGGGCUAUCCUGCUUUGCCCAUGGAUUGCGAUACUUGAGACCAAAGAUGUCCUAAGAUGUGUUGAUCGGAAUGUUGGGAUAAUGGUG
This 235-nucleotide long non-coding RNA is filed under the name Elaeis guineensis (African oil palm). RNAcentral's name for it is "long non-coding RNA (EGUI_LNC079424)". Lineage: Eukaryota; Viridiplantae; Streptophyta; Magnoliopsida; Arecales; Arecaceae. The record is from RNAcentral.